Molecule: ribosomal RNA, 253 nt
Filed under: uncultured bacterium
Lineage: Bacteria
Description: partial 16S ribosomal RNA
Rfam family: Bacterial small subunit ribosomal RNA
Source: RNAcentral
UACGGAGGAUGCAAGCGUUAUCCGGAAUUAUUGGGCGUAAAGGGUCCGCAGGUGGCAAUGUGUGUCUGCUGUCAAAGAAUGAGGCUUAACCUCAUCAAGGCAGUGGAAACUACAUAGCUAGAGUACGGUCGGGGUAGAAGGAAUUCCCGGUGUAGCGGUGAAAUGCGUAGAGCUCGGGAAGAACAUCGGUGGCGAAAGCGCUCUGCUGGACUGCAACUGACACUCAGGGACGAAAGCUAGGGGAGCGAAUGGG